Molecule: long non-coding RNA, 2960 nt
Filed under: Hordeum vulgare
Lineage: Eukaryota; Viridiplantae; Streptophyta; Magnoliopsida; Poales; Poaceae
Description: long non-coding RNA (HVUL_LNC004691)
Source: RNAcentral
CCCAACCGGGAUCAUCCCCAACCUCUGCUACAGGGAGGCAAGGGGGAGGCGUGGCGUGCAUCCGGCCGCCUGGCCACGGAUGGCCACACGACCUCCAUCAUGUGGCUCCCCAGGUUGGAUAAGAGCACCGUCCACCGGCCUCUCUCUCUCUUUUGAACCCUAGUCCCCCCAACCUCUGCUACAGGUUUAUCUCGUUCCCCCUCGAACACGAUCUGGUGAAGGAGCGAUGAUACAGUUGCCACUCCAUCAUCGCUGUCGCGGCCAUCAUCGUCUUCUCCGCAUGGGAGGACGUCCAGGAGGCCCGUCGUGGCCGGUUUUGUCCACCCCGAGCACCGAAUCGAGCAGAAUCGUUUCGUGCACUCACCAUUGAGCUGAUCUUCUUCGCAUACAUCGUCAACGUCCGCCGUUGUUUGCCACUGGUCUGGUCCUUCCCAGGCCACCCCGACCACGACCAUGAGUNUCCUGCUAGCUGCUAUGCUUUGCAGGGGCCAUGGCUGUGUGCGUGAGCGUGAGUGUGUGUGCGCUAUGUGUGAGCGUGAGAGUGUGUGUACAAUUAGUUUGGACUAAUUUUAUAUUAGUUAGGAGUUAACUUGCUAGUUUAGUUAGUGUGUCAAUGACAUGUGGACCCCAAUGCCUAAAAUAACCUUUCACCUAAAAUAUGUCACUCGCGUUCAGGUCCCACAAGCACUAUUUCCCUUUUUGACGAGUCAACUUGACUUGUCAAUUCGGAUUAUGUAAAUGCUGAAAAUUUCAGAAAUUCGAUAAAAUUUGAAAAAAUCAUAUAAAAUAAACGUAACUCGGAUGAAAAUAAAUUAUAUAUCACAAAUUAUCAGAAAAAUAGGAUGAAUCCGACUAUGUCAUCCAUAUGUGUGUGAGCCCCCUCUAACAUUGUGAACAUGAACAUUUUGUAUUAGGAUCAUCUGUCCGAAAAAUACCUGGAGCCGGGAAAAUAUUGCCACAUAUUUUCCCCUUCUUUUAAAAUGCUUAGUGAUGCAUUAGAGCAUGUUACCCACACAUAUUACCGUGCCAUUGCAUUUGUGUAUCAUUAGAUUGCUUGGUCAUUUACUUGUUUCCCCCUUAAUCAUUCAUAUAUUGCCUAUUAUUUCCGAUCUUGAUCUAGAUACUGCGAUAGACCCCAAGACCGAUGUCGAUCCGGUGAUCGACUACUUCACCAUCGAGGGUCCAUAUGUAUUCGUGGAGCAACCAGGCAAGCAAACCCCCUUAAUCAGUCCUAUAUCGCCUAUUAUUUCUUCCUUAUGCUUGCAUUAGAAUUUUGCUACUAUUGUAGUUAGCUCCUAUAUUUGAUGCAUAGCAUGUUUUUGAUAAACUGCUACAUUAUUUUUCUGCACCUUAAACUAUUUAGUAUAGGUGGGGCAGUCAUCCCCUUUGCCCCCUUAGUCCAGUUGCCCCCGCUUUAUCGUCAAGUCUCAAUCAACUGAUCAAAGAGCCAAGACCCGACACAUCACUCACACCCCCCUUAGUUGUACGACGUUGCAGAGCUACUAUCGCGUACCGAGGGUGACACAUCGUUACGUACUCCGAUGUUAGCGUUGUAGUGUAGUUGACCGGCGGUGGUUCUCGGAGGGUGAUUCCUCAUUCACCACUUCCGAUAACGACUAUGUCAUACAACCCAUGAAGCGUGGCCCAUCGAGGGUGAUUCCUCCCUGACCACCUUGACGGUUCCAUCUUUUAGAAUCCAACGAGUGUGAUACCUCGGAUCCCCCCUGAUGUUACAACCACACAUUUACUUGACCAUGUUACUGGGAACAUUGAUGAAUAAAUGUUAGCCGGGUGGAUUCCCGCGUGGAUUUGUCGAUGAGUUAAUUAAAAUGUUAAUGGAUUUGGGUAUUUGAUCUGGGUUGGUCGGAGACCUUAUUCGCACUAACCGUCUACGUGGGAGAAGUUAUGGGUACUCGACGGCGUGGUAUGAGCCGAAUCUCUUCAGACUUCAGCAAUGGAGCGGCGCGCGCCCGAGUGGUCUGGAUUAUCAUCGUUCUUGUAUAAGAGGUGCCACGACUGACAUCGGCGACCCAUGCAACGUGCAGGAGUGCAAUGGGUGAUGGGCCCAUGACCCCUGCGUGCUUAGGAUUUAGACCGACAGGCUGGCCUCUGUGUUGAGUCUAGGCGGGGCUGCGACGUGUCGAUGUUCCGAGGCCGGGAAUGACCCAACAAAGUGUGUCUGACCAGAGUUUAUCGAGCAUGACGAGGAAUAUGUGGUGCACCCAUGCAGGGAAGAACUUGUAUAUUCGAAUAGCCCUGUCCACGAUUACAGGACGACUUGGAGUUGUGCCCCGUUCUUAUACAACUACAACGGUUACUUAACUGGAAUGUUGCUCCAGGAUUGCUUCCUCGCACGGAGUCGAGGAAGGAUCUCUGGACGUGACUUUAAUUAAUAUUGCUGCAACAAUAUGACUAUUAAUUGUGUUACCGGUUCUACUCUCGUCUAUUGUUGCACGACCCCUUGAAGAUGCUAGUCUUCGAUAGGACUAGGCCUUCCCUCUCUAUUCUUGCAUUGCUGCAGUCAGUCCACAUAUAACCCCUUCCUUAGAAGCCGGUGCAUACUUAGCAUAGUUCUGAUGUUAGUCUUGCGAGUACUUUGGAUGGGUACUCACUGUUGCUUUGCUUUCCCUUUUUCUUCUCGAUCCGUUGUUGCGACCAGAUGAUGGAGCCCAGGAGAUGGCGUAUCCCGCCGAUGAUGACUGCUACCCCCCCUCCCGACGGAGCCUGCUACUGUGUGGAGGUUGCUGAUGACCAGGAGUAGUUAGGAGGUUCCCAGGCAGGAGGCCUCGCCUCACUCGAUCGUUGAAUCUUUUGUGCUAGCCUUCUCUAAGGCAUCUCAUGUUUCAUGCCGGUACUAAGAUAUUUGUUGCUUCCCUGACUUGUGUGUUUAUCGAGCUUCUGUAUUCUAGCCCUCGAGGCCCUUGGCUUGUAAUAUGAAGCUUGUAUGUUUUAUUUGUGUC